RNAcentral lists this ribosomal RNA (362 nucleotides) under uncultured bacterium. RNAcentral describes it as "partial 16S ribosomal RNA". It matches the Rfam family "Bacterial small subunit ribosomal RNA", at positions 338 to 697 of the family's 1533-position model. The record is from RNAcentral.
CCUACGGGAGGCAGCAGUGAGGAAUAUUGGUCAAUGGCCGGAAGGCUGAACCAGCCAAGCCGCGUGAAGGAAGACGGUUCCAAGCAUUGUAAACUUCUUUUGUCAAAGGACAAAAUCAGGCACGAGUGCCUGGCCGAAGGUACUUGAAGAAAAAGCAUCGGCUAACUCCGUGCCAGCAGCCGCGGUAAUACGGAGGAUGCGAGCGUUAUCCGGAUUUAUUUGGUUUAAAGGGUGCGUAGGCGGACUGUUAAGUGAGCGGUUAAAUCCCGGGGCUCAACCCCGGCGAGGCCUCUGAUACUGGCUGGCUUGAGAUUAGGUGAGGUAUGCGGAAUGCAAGGUGUAGCGGUGAAAUGCUUAGAUAU